ACCCGCUUCCCAUGAAUCACUCUAUUCCUAGGUGUCCUAAAGUUCACUCAUGGCCUGGGUAUUGGGCCUUUUACCUCUUGUGAUCCCCACCCAACAGAGAAACAGAUACACAGCCAGCACAAUGAUAAUAUGAUGCAUGCGAACAUAUAUGCAAGUAUAUACAAUCACAACAUAAUUAUAAAUGCAAUAAAUAAAGCAGUAAAAGUAACCAAAACUAUCCUAAAGAGCGCUAGGAUUGACUCGCUUAGGGAAGAUGGAC
Molecule: long non-coding RNA, 259 nt
Filed under: Lathyrus oleraceus (garden pea)
Lineage: Eukaryota; Viridiplantae; Streptophyta; Magnoliopsida; Fabales; Fabaceae
Description: Pisum sativum (pea) long non-coding RNA (PSAT_LNC035909)
Source: RNAcentral